GAUCAACGCUGGCGGCGCACAUAAGACAUGCAAGUUGAACGGACUUAAUCGAAAUAUUUCUAUUUUGAAGCGGUUAGUGGCGGACUGGUGAGUAACGCGUAAGGAACCUGCCUAUUAGAGGGGAAUAACAGUGAGAAAUCAUUGCUAAUACCGCAUAUGCCAUAGAUAUCACAUGAUAACAGUGGGAAAGGAGCAAUCCGCUAAUAGAUGGCCUUGCGUCUGAUUAGAUAGUUGGUGGGGUAACGGCCUACCAAGUCGACGAUCAGUAGCCGGACUGAGAGGUUGAACGGCCAAAUUGGGACUGAGGUACCGCCCAGACCCCUACGGGAGGGAGCAGGCGGGAAUAGUGCGCAAUGGAGGGAACUCUGACGGAGGGACGCCGCGUAAAAGAAGAAGGUUUUCGGAAUGUAAACUAUUGUCGUUAGGGAAGAGAAAGGACAGUACCUAAGGAGGAAGCCCCGGCUAACUACGUG
RNAcentral lists this ribosomal RNA (473 nucleotides) under uncultured bacterium. Its description in RNAcentral is "partial 16S ribosomal RNA". It matches the Rfam family "Bacterial small subunit ribosomal RNA", at positions 28 to 507 of the family's 1533-position model. The record is from RNAcentral.